This 1446-nucleotide ribosomal RNA is filed under the name uncultured organism. RNAcentral describes it as "SSU rRNA". It matches the Rfam family "Bacterial small subunit ribosomal RNA". The record is from RNAcentral.
GCUGGCGGCAGGCCUAACACAUGCAAGUCGAACGGUAACAGGAAGAAGCUUGCUUCUUUGCUGACGAGUGGCGGACGGGUGAGUAAUGUCUGGGAAACUGCCUGAUGGAGGGGGAUAACUACUGGAAACGGUAGCUAAUACCGCAUAACGUCGCAAGACCAAAGAGGGGGACCUUCGGGCCUCUUGCCAUCGGAUGUGCCCAGAUGGGAUUAGCUAGUAGGUGGGGUAAAGGCUCACCUAGGCGACGAUCCCUAGCUGGUCUGAGAGGAUGACCAGCCACACUGGAACUGAGACACGGUCCAGACUCCUACGGGAGGCAGCAGUGGGGAAUAUUGCACAAUGGGCGCAAGCCUGAUGCAGCCAUGCCGCGUGUAUGAAGAAGGCCUUCGGGUUGUAAAGUACUUUCAGCGGGGAGGAAGGGAGUAAAGUUAAUACCUUUGCUCAUUGACGUUACCCGCAGAAGAAGCACCGGCUAACUCCGUGCCAGCAGCCGCGGUAAUACGGAGGGUGCAAGCGUUAAUCGGAAUUACUGGGCGUAAAGCGCACGCAGGCGGUUUGUUAAGUCAGAUGUGAAAUCCCCGGGCUCAACCUGGGAACUGCAUCUGAUACUGGCAAGCUUGAGUCUCGUAGAGGGGGGUAGAAUUCCAGGUGUAGCGGUGAAAUGCGUAGAGAUCUGGAGGAAUACCGGUGGGGAAGGCGGCCCCCUGGACGAAGACUGACGCUCAGGUGCGAAAGCGUGGGGAGCAAACAGGAUUUAGAUACCCUGGUAGUCCACGCCGUAAACGAUGUCGACUUGGAGGUUGUGCCCUUGAGGCGUGGCUUCCGGAGCUAACGCGUUAAGUCGACCGCCUGGGGAGUACGGCCGCAAGGUUAAAACUCAAAUGAAUUGACGGGGGCCCGCACAAGCGGUGGAGCAUGUGGUUUAAUUCGAUGCAACGCGAAGAACCUUACCUGGUCUUGACAUCCACAGAACCUUGUAGAGAUACGAGGGUGCCUUCGGGAACUGUGAGACAGGUGCUGCAUGGCUGUCGUCAGCUCGUGUUGUGAAAUGUUGGGUUAAGUCCCGCAACGAGCGCAACCCUUAUCCUUUGUUGCCAGCGGUCCGGCCGGGAACUCAAAGGAGACUGCCAGUGAUAAACUGGAGGAAGGUGGGGAUGACGUCAAGUCAUCAUGGCCCUUACGACCAGGGCUACACACGUGCUACAAUGGCGCAUACAAAGAGAAGCGACCUCGCGAGAGCAAGCGGACCUCAUAAAGUGCGUCGUAGUCCGGAUUGGAGUCUGCAACUCGACUCCAUGAAGUCGGAAUCGCUAGUAAUCGUGGAUCAGAAUGCCACGGUGAAUACGUUCCCGGGCCUUGUACACACCGCCCGUCACACCAUGGGAGUGGGUUGCAAAAGAAGUAGGUAGCUUAACCUUCGGGAGGGCGCUUACCACUUUGUGAUUC